RNAcentral lists this ribosomal RNA (375 nucleotides) under uncultured bacterium. Its description in RNAcentral is "bacterial SSU rRNA". It matches the Rfam family "Bacterial small subunit ribosomal RNA", at positions 521 to 896 of the family's 1533-position model. The record is from RNAcentral.
UAAUACGAAGGGGGCUAGCGUUGUUCGGAAUUACUGGGCGUAAAGGGUGUGUAGGUGGUUUAGUACGUCAGAAGUGAAAUCCCUGGGCUCAACCCAGGAAUUGCUUUUGAGACUAUUAGACUUGAGUACAGGAGAGGUGAGUGGAAUUCCCAGUGUAGAGGUAAAAUUCGUAGAUAUUGGGAGGAACACCAGUGGCGAAGGCGGCUCACUGGCCUGUAACUGACACUGAGACACGAAAGCGUGGGGAGCAAACAGGAUUAGAUACCCUGGUAGUCCACGCUGUAAACGAUGAAUGCUAGUUGUUGGAAGGUUUACCUUUCAGUGACGCCGCUAACGCAUUAAGCAUUCCGCCUGGGGAGUACGGCCGCAAGGUUG